UCCCUGCUGUGUGCGUGAACUCCGACAAAGAAUUUAACCGAUAGAUGAAAAUUAGGGAGACCUUAUUCUUCCGUGGCGUAUACGCCCCCGUCUUUUGACGCCAGGGGACAUAUAAAGCGGAGGAUGGGUCACCCACCUGUGUGAAGCAGGUUAAAUUUUCAAGGAGAUAACGGCACCGCGGGGCAU
Molecule: non-coding RNA, 186 nt
Filed under: human gut metagenome
Description: 6S / SsrS RNA
Rfam family: 6S / SsrS RNA
About the family: E. coli 6S RNA was the first non coding RNA to be sequenced, but its function was unknown until recently. It consists of 184 nucleotides that fold into an extended hairpin structure with a large single-stranded internal bulge.
Source: RNAcentral